This 1003-nucleotide ribosomal RNA is filed under the name Meyerozyma guilliermondii. RNAcentral's name for it is "SSU rRNA". It matches the Rfam family "Eukaryotic small subunit ribosomal RNA", at positions 68 to 1078 of the family's 1831-position model. Lineage: Eukaryota; Fungi; Ascomycota; Pichiomycetes; Serinales; Debaryomycetaceae. The record is from RNAcentral.
AGCAUUUAUACAGUGAAACUGCGAAUGGCUCAUUAAAUCAGUUAUCGUUUAUUUGAUAGUACCUUUACUACUUGGAUAACCGUGGUAAUUCUAGAGCUAAUACAUGCUAAAAAUCCCGACUGUUUGGAAGGGAUGUAUUUAUUAGAUAAAAAAUCAAUGCUCUUUGAGCUCUUUGAUGAUUCAUAAUAACUUUUCGAAUCGCAUGGCCUUGUGCUGGCGAUGGUUCAUUCAAAUUUCUGCCCUAUCAACUUUCGAUGGUAGGAUAGUGGCCUACCAUGGUUUCAACGGGUAACGGGGAAUAAGGGUUCGAUUCCGGAGAGGGAGCCUGAGAAACGGCUACCACAUCCAAGGAAGGCAGCAGGCGCGCAAAUUACCCAAUCCCGACACGGGGAGGUAGUGACAAUACAUAACGAUACAGGGCCCUUUCGGGUCUUGUAAUUGGAAUGAGUACAAUGUAAAUACCUUAACGAGGAACAAUUGGAGGGCAAGUCUGGUGCCAGCAGCCGCGGUAAUUCCAGCUCCAAUAGCGUAUAUUAAAGUUGUUGCAGUUAAAAAGCUCGUAGUUGAACUUUGGGCUUGGUUGGCCGGUCCGCCUUUUUGGCGAGUACUGGACCCAACCGAGCCUUUCCUUCUGGCUAACCAUUCGCCCUUGUGGUGUUUGGCGAACCAGGACUUUUACUUUGAAAAAAUUAGAGUGUUCAAAGCAGGCCUUUGCUCGAAUAUAUUAGCAUGGAAUAAUAGAAUAGGACGUUAUGGUUCUAUUUUGUUGGUUUCUAGGACCAUCGUAAUGAUUAAUAGGGACGGUCGGGGGCAUCAGUAUUCAGUUGUCAGAGGUGAAAUUCUUAGAUUUACUGAAGACUAACUACUGCGAAAGCAUUUGCCAAGGACGUUUUCAUUAAUCAAGAACGAAAGUUAGGGGAUCGAAGAUGAUCAGAUACCGUCGUAGUCUUAACCCAUAAACUAUGCCGACUAGGGGAUCGGGUGUUGUUCUUUUUUUGACGCA